RNAcentral lists this ribosomal RNA (508 nucleotides) under uncultured bacterium. RNAcentral's name for it is "partial 16S ribosomal RNA". The record is from RNAcentral.
GGAGUUAGCCGGUGCUUCUUCUGUGAGUGAUGUCCUUCCUGCCGGUUAUUGACCCGCAGGCCUUCUUCCUCACUGAAAGUGCUUUACAACCCGAAGGCCUUCUUCACACACGCGGCAUGGCUGGAUCAGGGUUGCCCCCAUUGUCCAAUAUUCCCCACUGCUGCCUCCCGUAGGAGUCUGGGCCGUGUCUCAGUCCCAGUGUGGCUGAUCAUCCUCUCAGACCAGCUACGGAUCGUCGCCUUGGUGAGCCGUUACCUCACCAACCAGCUAAUCCGACAUAGGCUCAUCCGAUAGCGCGAGGCCCGAAGGUCCCCCGCUUUCCCCCGUAGGGCCGUAUGCGGUAUUAGCCUGGGUUUCCCCAGGUUAUCCCCCACUACCGGGCAGAUUCCUAUGCAUUACUCACCCGUCCGCCGCUCGCCACCAGGGAGCAAGCUCCCCGUGCUGCCGCUCGACUUGCAUGUGUUAGGCCUGCCGCCAGCGUUCAAUCUGAGCAGAANACAACUACUGA